GUAAAAAGCUCUCUAAAAAAGAAAAAAAAGACCAAGAAAAUUACUAAAUAAAAAAAAAGAAAAAAUAAGUCAAGGGUAUGAAUGGGUAGUUCACUUAGAAAGAAAUACAAACUUCCAGUAUACAGAUAAGCACAUGUUCAAGCUCACUAUGAGUCAGAGAGCUGCAAAGUAAAACAAGAUAGCAUAUCAGGAUACCAAAGGUAGAUGGGCGGAGUGAAGUGUCAGCAGAAAAUAGAGCAAGCAAUAAGGGGAUGUACUGUCUGCAGAGAAUUUAAAAAUAAUAGGCCCAGUUGCAGUGGUUAACUAAGACGCUGUGCUCCACAGGCUGGGACAACAUGGGAGGCCCAAGUUUGCUUCCUGGUCCAACCUGAAGGCAGCUGGGCCAGCCCGUGGUGUGGUGAUUGAGGAAGCUGCAUCCCAAGUGGCUAGAGAUGUGGUUUUGAGUCCUGGAACUGGCAGCUUGAGAAACACCCCAAAUAUGUGUGUAUGUGUCCCAGAGGAGGAAGAAAUGGAGAAGAGACUAUGACACAACUAUCUCCGAUGGGGCGCUGCUUUCUCAAUUGCCCUCUCGUCGUCUCUCUCUGUUGCAAGUGCAUGCAUCCUGUGAGAAAUUUUCAAAGAAAAGUUUUGCCUCUGCCCUAAUUCAUUUGGAUGUUAAUAAACAAAAUGGUAAUAAAGAAAAUGACUGGUACUGGAUGAAAUGAUUUGAGAAUUUAUAUUCUUGGACAGGUCAACUUAGGUUGUUCUGGAAUGAAUGAAGGUUUUCACUUACUAGAAUAGGGAAAUCUGCUACUCCUCAUCAGAAAGACUUUAAACAUCUAUGUAUAUUGUAAUUUAUGUAUUUAUAAGCCAUUGCGACUCUUAGAAUUUGCCAGACAGGCUUUCUAACUAACCUGUGUUGGGAAGUUUCAAUGGUGAUUCACUAUUGAGUAACGGUUAAUAAAGAUAUGAAUUUAAUUCUUUUUAGUAGCUUUUCUGAAUUUAGGCAAAUUGCAUAACUUCUUCAAGUUUCUGUUUCCUCACUAUAAAGUAGAGUAUUGGAAGGAUUCAA
This is a long non-coding RNA of Tupaia belangeri chinensis (Chinese tree shrew), 1051 nucleotides long. RefSeq lists it as uncharacterized. Lineage: Eukaryota; Metazoa; Chordata; Mammalia; Scandentia; Tupaiidae. The transcript is spliced from 2 exons. The record is from RefSeq and is a predicted model, not a curated record.